AUCCAGCUGACGAGUCCCAAAUAGGACGAAACAUGAGUCCUCCAU
Molecule: non-coding RNA, 45 nt
Organism: Schistosoma curassoni
Lineage: Eukaryota; Metazoa; Platyhelminthes; Trematoda; Strigeidida; Schistosomatidae
Source: Rfam